This 305-nucleotide unclassified non-coding RNA is filed under the name plant metagenome. RNAcentral's name for it is "partial contains 5.8S ribosomal RNA, internal transcribed spacer 2, and large subunit ribosomal RNA". The stretch from base 1 to 105 matches the Rfam family "5.8S ribosomal RNA", at positions 50 to 154 of the family's 154-position model. The record is from RNAcentral.
AAAAUGCGAUAAGUAGUGUGAAUUGCAGAAUUUAGUGAAUCAUCGAAUCUUUGAACGCACAUUGCGCCCUUUGGUAUUCCUUAGGGCAUGCCUGUUCGAGCGUCAUCUAAACCUUCAAGCCCUGCUUGGUGUUGGGUGCCUGUCCCGCCUCCGCGCGCGGACUCACCUCAAAUCCAUUGGCGGCCCCCGCGUCGGCCACGAGCGCAGCAGAAACGCGAACUCGUGAGCCCGUCCGGGCGGCUCCCAGAAGCUACACCCACCCAGUUUGACCUCGGAUCAGGUAGGGAUACCCGCUGAACUUAAGC